RNAcentral lists this unclassified non-coding RNA (391 nucleotides) under soil metagenome. Its description in RNAcentral is "partial contains 5.8S ribosomal RNA, internal transcribed spacer 2, and large subunit ribosomal RNA". The stretch from base 1 to 122 matches the Rfam family "5.8S ribosomal RNA", at positions 35 to 154 of the family's 154-position model. The record is from RNAcentral.
GAUGAAGAACGUAGCGAAAUGCGAUACUUGGUGUGAAUUGCAGAAUCCCGUGAACCAUCGAGUCUUUGAACGCAAGUUGCGCCCGAAGCCAUUAGGCCGAGGGCACGCCUGCCUGGGCGUCACACGUCGUUGCCCCCCCCAUCUACUCCUUCGGGAUUGCGGGGGGCGGAUGAUGGCCUCCCGUGCGCCUCGCCGCGCGGUUGGCAUAAAUGCCAAGUCCUCGGCGACGCACGCCACGACAAUCGGUGGUUGCGAAACCUCGGUUGCCCGUCGUGUGCGGUCGUCGCGCAUCGAGGGCUCGAAAAAAUUGCCGAGUUCCGGCUCGGCUUUCAACGCGACCCCAGGUCAGGCGGGGUUACCCGCUGAAUUUAAGCAUAUCAAAAGCGGAGGA